RNAcentral lists this ribosomal RNA (447 nucleotides) under uncultured bacterium. Its description in RNAcentral is "SSU rRNA". It matches the Rfam family "Bacterial small subunit ribosomal RNA", at positions 26 to 518 of the family's 1533-position model. The record is from RNAcentral.
AGAGCGAACGCUGGCGGCAGGCCUAACACAUGCAAGUCGAGCGCGUGUAGCAAUACACGAGCGGCAGACGGGAGAGUAACACGUGGGAACGCGCCCUUCGGUUCGGAAUAACUCAGGGAAACUUGAGCUAAUACCGGAUACGCCCUUACGGGGAAAGAUUUAUUGCCGAAGGAACGGCCCGCGUCCGAUUAGCUAGUUGGUGAGGUAACGGCUCACCAAGGCGACGAUCGGUAGCUGGUCUGAGAGGAUGACCAGCCUCACUGGGACUGAGACACGGCCCAGACUCCUACGGGAGGCAGCAGUGGGGAAUAUUGGACAAUGGGCGCAAGCCUGAUCCAGCCAUGCCGCGUGGAUGAUGAAGGCCUUAGGGUUGUAAAGUCCUUUUAACGGGGAAGAUAAUGACGGUACCGUAGAACUAAGCCCGGCUAACUUCGUGCCAGCAGCCGC